Molecule: ribosomal RNA, 2760 nt
Filed under: Escherichia coli
Lineage: Bacteria; Pseudomonadati; Pseudomonadota; Gammaproteobacteria; Enterobacterales; Enterobacteriaceae
Description: partial 23S ribosomal RNA
Rfam family: Bacterial large subunit ribosomal RNA
Source: RNAcentral
CAUAGGUUAAUGAGGCGAACCGGGGGAACUGAAACAUCUAAGUACCCCGAGGAAAAGAAAUCAACCGAGAUUCCCCCAGUAGCGGCGAGCGAACGGGGAGGAGCCCAGAGCCUGAAUCAGUGUGUGUGUUAGUGGAAGCGUCUGGAAAGGCGCGCGAUACAGGGUGACAGCCCCGUACACAAAAAUGCACAUGCUGUGAGCUCGAUGAGUAGGGCGGGACACGUGGUAUCCUGUCUGAAUAUGGGGGGACCAUCCUCCAAGGCUAAAUACUCCUGACUGACCGAUAGUGAACCAGUACCGUGAGGGAAAGGCGAAAAGAACCCCGGCGAGGGGAGUGAAAAAGAACCUGAAACCGUGUACGUACAAGCAGUGGGAGCACAGAGCAAUCUGUGUGACUGCGUACCUUUUGUAUAAUGGGUCAGCGACUUAUAUUCUGUAGCAAGGUUAACCGAAUAGGGGAGCCGAAGGGAAACCGAGUCUUAACUGGGCGUUAAGUUGCAGGGUAUAGACCCGAAACCCGGUGAUCUAGCCAUGGGCAGGUUGAAGGUUGGGUAACACUAACUGGAGGACCGAACCGACUAAUGUUGAAAAAUUAGCGGAUGACUUGUGGCUGGGGGUGAAAGGCCAAUCAAACCGGGAGAUAGCUGGUUCUCCCCGAAAGCUAUUUAGGUAGCGCCUCGUGAAUUCAUCUCCGGGGGUAGAGCACUGUUUCGGCAAGGGGGUCAUCCCGACUUACCAACCCGAUGCAAACUGCGAAUACCGGAGAAUGUUAUCACGGGAGACACACGGCGGGUGCUAACGUCCGUCGUGAAGAGGGAAACAACCCAGACCGCCAGCUAAGGUCCCAAAGUCAUGGUUAAGUGGGAAACGAUGUGGGAAGGCCCAGACAGCCAGGAUGUUGGCUUAGAAGCAGCCAUCAUUUAAAGAAAGCGUAAUAGCUCACUGGUCGAGUCGGCCUGCGCGGAAGAUGUAACGGGGCUAAACCAUGCACCGAAGCUGCGGCAGCGACACUAUGUGUUGUUGGGUAGGGGAGCGUUCUGUAAGCCUGUGAAGGUGUGCUGUGAGGCAUGCUGGAGGUAUCAGAAGUGCGAAUGCUGACAUAAGUAACGAUAAAGCGGGUGAAAAGCCCGCUCGCCGGAAGACCAAGGGUUCCUGUCCAACGUUAAUCGGGGCAGGGUGAGUCGACCCCUAAGGCGAGGCCGAAAGGCGUAGUCGAUGGGAAACAGGUUAAUAUUCCUGUACUUGGUGUUACUGCGAAGGGGGGACGGAGAAGGCUAUGUUGGCCGGGCGACGGUUGUCCCGGUUUAAGCGUGUAGGCUGGUUUUCCAGGCAAAUCCGGAAAAUCAAGGCUGAGGCGUGAUGACGAGGCACUACGGUGCUGAAGCAACAAAUGCCCUGCUUCCAGGAAAAGCCUCUAAGCAUCAGGUAACAUCAAAUCGUACCCCAAACCGACACAGGUGGUCAGGUAGAGAAUACCAAGGCGCUUGAGAGAACUCGGGUGAAGGAACUAGGCAAAAUGGUGCCGUAACUUCGGGAGAAGGCACGCUGAUAUGUAGGUGAAGCGACUUGCUCGUGGAGCUGAAAUCAGUCGAAGAUACCAGCUGGCUGCAACUGUUUAUUAAAAACACAGCACUGUGCAAACACGAAAGUGGACGUAUACGGUGUGACGCCUGCCCGGUGCCGGAAGGUUAAUUGAUGGGGUCAGCGCAAGCGAAGCUCUUGAUCGAAGCCCCGGUAAACGGCGGCCGUAACUAUAACGGUCCUAAGGUAGCGAAAUUCCUUGUCGGGUAAGUUCCGACCUGCACGAAUGGCGUAAUGAUGGCCAGGCUGUCUCCACCCGAGACUCAGUGAAAUUGAACUCGCUGUGAAGAUGCAGUGUACCCGCGGCAAGACGGAAAGACCCCGUGAACCUUUACUAUAGCUUGACACUGAACAUUGAGCCUUGAUGUGUAGGAUAGGUGGGAGGCUUUGAAGUGUGGACGCCAGUCUGCAUGGAGCCGACCUUGAAAUACCACCCUUUAAUGUUUGAUGUUCUAACGUUGACCCGUAAUCCGGGUUGCGGACAGUGUCUGGUGGGUAGUUUGACUGGGGCGGUCUCCUCCUAAAGAGUAACGGAGGAGCACGAAGGUUGGCUAAUCCUGGUCGGACAUCAGGAGGUUAGUGCAAUGGCAUAAGCCAGCUUGACUGCGAGCGUGACGGCGCGAGCAGGUGCGAAAGCAGGUCAUAGUGAUCCGGUGGUUCUGAAUGGAAGGGCCAUCGCUCAACGGAUAAAAGGUACUCCGGGGAUAACAGGCUGAUACCGCCCAAGAGUUCAUAUCGACGGCGGUGUUUGGCACCUCGAUGUCGGCUCAUCACAUCCUGGGGCUGAAGUAGGUCCCAAGGGUAUGGCUGUUCGCCAUUUAAAGUGGUACGCGAGCUGGGUUUAGAACGUCGUGAGACAGUUCGGUCCCUAUCUGCCGUGGGCGCUGGAGAACUGAGGGGGGCUGCUCCUAGUACGAGAGGACCGGAGUGGACGCAUCACUGGUGUUCGGGUUGUCAUGCCAAUGGCACUGCCCGGUAGCUAAAUGCGGAAGAGAUAAGUGCUGAAAGCAUCUAAGCACGAAACUUGCCCCGAGAUGAGUUCUCCCUGACUCCUUGAGAGUCCUGAAGGAACGUUGAAGACGACGACGUUGAUAGGCCGGGUGUGUAAGCGCAGCGAUGCGUUGAGCUAACCGGUACUAAUGAACCGUGAGGCUUAACCUUACAACGCCGAAGGUGUUU